UAUUAGUUCGCAAAAUAUGCGUUAAGGAUUGCAGUGGAAAUACUUUUUUGAGGAACGAAAAAAAGAUUGUAGCGUAAAGCCUGACUUUAG
Molecule: non-coding RNA, 90 nt
Organism: Polaribacter sp. KT 15
Lineage: Bacteria; Pseudomonadati; Bacteroidota; Flavobacteriia; Flavobacteriales; Flavobacteriaceae
Source: Rfam